This 322-nucleotide ribosomal RNA is filed under the name uncultured eukaryote. Its description in RNAcentral is "partial 18S ribosomal RNA". It matches the Rfam family "Eukaryotic small subunit ribosomal RNA", at positions 1470 to 1796 of the family's 1831-position model. The record is from RNAcentral.
CCCUUAGAUGUUCUGGGCCGCACGCGUGCUACACUGAGUGGAUCAGCGGGUCAGGUUGCGCGAAAGCGUUUCCUAAUCUUUAAAUCCGCUCGUGAUGGGGAUUGACGGUCGCAAUUUUCUGUCAUGAACGAGGAAUACCUUGUAAGCGCGGGUCAUCAUCCCGCGCUGAAUACGUCCCUGCCCUUUGUACACACCGCCCGUCGCUCCUACCGAUUGAGCGGUCCGGUGAGGCUUUGGGAUCUGAGCGGAAAGAGCGUUUCGCUGUUUCUGCUCGGAAAACUCAGUCGAACCUUAUCAUUUAGAGGAAGGAGAAGUCGUAACA